GUCAAGGGCGGGUAACUCCAAACCGACAUGCACGCGAGCACCUGUUUCUCCAAUGUUAGACUACUCCAAUGUCAAUGUUUACGGUUAUGUGGGAUCUGCUCUGUAUCAUCCGCCUGUAACUCACUGUCAGUUGCGAUUGUCAGUAGAACAACAGCUUUAAUCGGAAAUAUAACCGUUGUUUGUGAAACGUGACCUUUAAAACGUGACCUUUCUUUCUUUUUUUUAUCAGAGAGGACUGUUUUAAAUGUUUCCUACAAGAUCAGUCUGUCUGUGAUAGUACUGAUACCCUGAACUAUGUCGGCAACUGGUGUUUUCCAGUGGCUUAGAAAUGUUUCGAGACGUCGUUUCAUCAGACUUGGUGCUCCAUUUCUGCUCCUUAUCGUUGGAGGAUCAUUUGGGUUGGAAAAAUUUACAGUGAUUAGAUAUCAGUUCCGAAAAGGAAAAAAAGCUUACAGAAGAAGAAGCUGCAAAAUAUGGUCUAAAUUUGAAGGAAACAAAAGGCACAGAAGCCAUUGAAAAAAGCGUAUGAGAAACUACAGAAGGAGGAAGUAGACAACUGGCAGAAUAUCCGUGGUCCACGUCCAUGGGAAGAUUCAAAGACAGUUCAAGAUCUUCAGAGACAGAAUAGAAUUGACUAAUUCAUGGAGAGAUAACUGACUUUGUGAAGUGAAUUGAAAUGAAUGGUGUGUGAUAUGGAAGUUAUAUAUGUUUGUUAUAGACCAUGUAAUUACCAAGAAUCAAUAAAGGAAUCCUUCGUGUG
Molecule: long non-coding RNA, 760 nt
Organism: Haliotis rubra (blacklip abalone)
Lineage: Eukaryota; Metazoa; Mollusca; Gastropoda; Lepetellida; Haliotidae
Exons: 4
Source: RefSeq, a predicted model, not a curated record